Molecule: long non-coding RNA, 1061 nt
Filed under: Mytilus galloprovincialis (Mediterranean mussel)
Lineage: Eukaryota; Metazoa; Mollusca; Bivalvia; Mytilida; Mytilidae
Source: RNAcentral
CUAAUUUUAACAACAUUGUAGUACAACAAGGAGAAAAGUGUAAGUAUAUCUAUACCAAAACUAUUUUCUAGAUAGUGUAAAUGUAUGAAUAAAUACGCUGUACAAAAAUCAAUGUACUACUAGAUUCAGUAACCAUUAAAAAGUACUAAAUAAUGUGACCAUUUGAAUGUACUAGAUAAAGUAGCCAUUCUAAUGUUCUUGAUAUUUAAUGUACUAGAUAGAGUACUGUGGAUUCAUAAUUAUUUGUUGGAUAUCAAUUUUCGUGGGUUUUGUGGGAAAAGGUGAACCAUGAAUUCAAAGGUUCAACGAAUUAUAAAUUUUAUAUAGGCUUUGUAUGCAUAACCAGGCUAAUCCAAGGAAUUAAAUAUCCACGAAAAAGUAAUUUUUCGGCAAUCCACAAAAAUUUAUACCCACAAAAAUAAAUGAAUCCACAGUAUGUAUUACUGUACCGGUAAUCAUUAAUGCUUAUUUGAUUAAUUUAGAAGUAGCUUUUAUCUCAUGUGAACUACAUUUAGAUACAUUCAUGUUUAUACUAACGGUAAUAGACAAUGGACAUACGGUAUGGUUUUGAAUACAACUCAGAGAAAUAUAAGUUCUUUUCUCGGCAUAUAUGUACAUGGUUGAGGUAUAGUAAGAUAGUACCAGGUCGGAAUGAAAAUAGAUUGAAAUUUUACAAGCAAUUUUAUAUUCUCAGAAAAAUUAAUCAGAUUUGAAGCUUCAUUGCACUUUGUGUGCACUCACCAGAUACUUCCAAAAUAUAUGAUCUGAAUGAAUUCUUGUGUUUAAGGGCAUACGAUACAGUUACAAGGGAGGUAAUGACGUUGCCCACGUAAAUUGUUAUUUUCGCGACGUCAAACGGUGACUUAUCUGGAAAAGAUGCAGUUUUCGGCUGAUUUUUAUCAUUCAAACUGAUUUAACUUUAAAAUGAGUUCAUUCUCUUGUUUUAAAUGACAUUUGGUUUGAUUAUGUAAAAAGAUUAUGUGUACCAAUUUUCAUGAAAACAUAAAUAGUGCAAUUUUUUAAAAUUUGAUUAAUAUACAGCAAAAAAUGACGUUUUUUUC